GUUCCCUACGGGGCGCAGCAGUGGGGAAUAUUGGGCAAUGGGCGCAAGCCUGACCCAGCAACGCCGCGUGAAGGAAGAAGGCUUUCGGGUUGUAAACUUCUUUUAUGAGGGACGAAAGAAAUGACGGUACCUCAUGAAUAAGCCACGGCUAACUACGUGCCAGCAGCCGCGGUUAUACGUAGGUGGCCAGCGUUAUCCGGAUUUACUGGGUGUAAAGGGCGUGUAGGCGGGACUGCAAGUCCGAUGUGAAAAUUAUGG
Molecule: ribosomal RNA, 258 nt
Filed under: uncultured bacterium
Lineage: Bacteria
Description: partial 16S ribosomal RNA
Rfam family: Bacterial small subunit ribosomal RNA
Source: RNAcentral